RNAcentral lists this ribosomal RNA (485 nucleotides) under uncultured bacterium. RNAcentral describes it as "partial 16S ribosomal RNA". It matches the Rfam family "Bacterial small subunit ribosomal RNA", at positions 28 to 506 of the family's 1533-position model. The record is from RNAcentral.
GAUGAACGCUGGCGGCGUGCCUAAUACAUGCAAGUCGAACGCUGGAAAUCUAGCUUGCUAGAUUGAAGGAGUGGCGAACGGGUGAGUAAUACAUAAGCAACCUACCCACGAAGACUGGGAUAAUCUCUGGAAACGGGGACUAAUACCGGAUAGGUAAUCGGAAGGCAUCUUCUGAUUAUUAAAGGUUAAAAACACUGGUGGAUGGGCUUAUGGCGCAUUAGUUAGUUGGUGAGGUAACGGCCCACCAAGACGAUGAUGCGUAGCCGGCCUGAGAGGGUGAACGGCCACAUUGGGACUGAAAAACGGCCAGAACUCCUACGGGGGGCAGCAGUGGGGAAUUUCCGGCAAGGGGGGAAACCCUGACCGAGCAACGCCGGGUGGGUGAGGACGGCCUUCGGGUUGUAAAGCUCUGUUGAAAGGGAAGAACGGUAGAUAGAGAAUAUCAAAAUGACGGGACCUUACCAAAAAGCCACGGCGAACUACGU